AUUGAACGCUGGCGGCAUGCCUUACACAUGCAAGUCGAACGGUAACGGGCCUUCGGGUGCCGACGAGUGGCGAACGGGUGAGUAAUGCAUCGGAACGUACCUUUCAGUGGGGGAUAACGUAGCGAAAGUUACGCUAAUACCGCAUAUUCUGUGAGCAGGAAAGCAGGGGAUCGCAAGACCUUGCGCUGAUUGAGCGGCCGAUGUCAGAUUAGCUAGUUGGUGAGGUAAAGGCUCACCAAGGCGACGAUCCGUAGCGGGUCUGAGAGGAUGAUCCGCCACACUGGGACUGAGACACGGCCCAGACUCCUACGGGAGGCAGCAGUGGGGAAUUUUGGACAAUGGGCGCAAGCCUGAUCCAGCCAUGCCGCGUGAGUGAAGAAGGCCUUCGGUUGUAAAGCUCUUUCGGUACGGAAAGAAAUCGUGCAGGCUAACUAACCCUGUGCGGAUGACGGUACCGUCAUAAGAAGACGACCGGCUAACUACGUGCC
This 488-nucleotide ribosomal RNA is filed under the name uncultured bacterium. RNAcentral describes it as "bacterial SSU rRNA". It matches the Rfam family "Bacterial small subunit ribosomal RNA", at positions 30 to 509 of the family's 1533-position model. The record is from RNAcentral.